This 565-nucleotide ribosomal RNA is filed under the name uncultured Serratia sp. RNAcentral describes it as "bacterial SSU rRNA". It matches the Rfam family "Bacterial small subunit ribosomal RNA", at positions 951 to 1516 of the family's 1533-position model. The record is from RNAcentral. Lineage: Bacteria; Pseudomonadati; Pseudomonadota; Gammaproteobacteria; Enterobacterales; Yersiniaceae.
UUGAUGCAACGCGAAGAACCCUACCUACUCUUGACAUCCAGAGAACUUAGCAGAGAUGCUUUGGUGCCUUCGGGAACUCUGAGACAGGUGCUGCAUGGCCGUCGUCAGCUCGUGUUGUGAAAUGUUGGGUUAAGUCCCGCAACGAGCGCAACCCUUAUCCUUUGUUGCCAGCGGUUAGGCCGGGAACUCAAAGGAGACUGCCAGUGAUAAACUGGAGGAAGGUGGGGAUGACGUCAAGUCAUCAUGGCCCUUACGAGUAGGGCUACACACGUGCUACAAUGGCGCAUACAAAGAGAAGCGACCUCGCGAGAGCAAGCGGACCUCAUAAAGUGCGUCGUAGUCCGGAUUGGAGUCUGCAACUCGACUCCAUGAAGUCGGAAUCGCUAGUAAUCGUAGAUCAGAAUGCUACGGUGAAUACGUUCCCGGGCCUUGUACACACCGCCCGUCACACCAUGGGAGUGGGUUGCAAAAGAAGUAGGUAGCUUAACCUUCGGGAGGGCGCUUACCACUUUGUGAUUCAUGACUGGGGUGAAGUCGUAACAAGGUAACCAAGGGCGAAUUCCAG